AGGAGGAACAGCCCCAGUGGCGGGGCAGCUCUGGAAACCUGGAUUCAGCUCCCGCAGGAACUCCGGAGCUCUCCGUCUGCAGGGCCUGGAGGCUCCGGGGCGGG
Molecule: non-coding RNA, 104 nt
Organism: Canis lupus familiaris (dog)
Lineage: Eukaryota; Metazoa; Chordata; Mammalia; Carnivora; Canidae
Source: Rfam